Myodes glareolus (Bank vole) is the source of this 103-nucleotide small nuclear RNA. Lineage: Eukaryota; Metazoa; Chordata; Mammalia; Rodentia; Cricetidae. The record is from RefSeq and is a predicted model, not a curated record.
UUGCUUUGGCAGCAUGUGUACUAAAACUGGACCACUACAAAGAAGGUUAGCAUGGCCCCUGUGCAAGGAUGGCUUCAACAUUCUGGAAGAAUUCCAUGUUUUU